This is a long non-coding RNA of Gossypium arboreum, 674 nucleotides long. RefSeq lists it as uncharacterized. The record is from RefSeq and is a predicted model, not a curated record. NCBI's taxonomy places the organism in Eukaryota, Viridiplantae, Streptophyta, Magnoliopsida, Malvales, Malvaceae. The transcript has 5 exons.
CGGAGCAAGACAGUUAAAUAAAACAUGGUAAAGUGUUCAUUAGAACAGUUGAAGAAAGCAAAAACAAUGGCAACCAUUGCUGCGUGGCAAAGCUCAAAGACUGCUCUUUCUUUAUCCUCAAACUCCUCCUUGGGCCAGCGUCUCUCAAUUCCUCCUCCUCUCUCCCCUCUGCAUCGGUGAAUCGUGAAGUGCGGGGCUCUCCUCUUGUGGAUUUGUAGUCGAAAUCAUUUGGGGUCUUGGGGUUCUGGUGACUUCAGGGUGGGACUGUAUAUAUGGAGGAAGUGUUCUGGAAGGCGACCCUCGCCUAUAUUCUGGCAGCUUGGCUGCAUAUUAUCUGAUAUGUGUCGUAAUGACAUAACACAGUGUAUAGGGUUGGGUGGGUGUUUUUAACCCCGUAUGAUGUGUUGGGAUGGUCGGAGAUGGUAUGUAGAGGAUGGAGGUAAUCCAUAGACUUAGGCAGAUCGGUGCGGCUAAGACUCAGCGGUGACCACUCAACCGUAAAUUGUUUAAACUUAGUAAUUUAUGGUUUAUUUAAAAUUCUGGAUUUAUUUGAGAGUUUGUAAUUUUUGGGACUCUCUAAACUGUAUGGUUUUUAACUGUUGAUUUUUGGUUUGUUGAUAAUUUGCAUGCUUCGAUAAAAUGUUUUAUGAAAAUGAUGGUUUUACGCAAAUAAA